Molecule: RNA transcript, 1959 nt
Organism: Sinocyclocheilus grahami
Lineage: Eukaryota; Metazoa; Chordata; Actinopteri; Cypriniformes; Cyprinidae
Gene name: tissue factor-like
Exons: 7
Source: RefSeq, a predicted model, not a curated record
GUUUUCCUGCGCUCUCACACACACACACACACACACACACACACUCACACGCACGCGCACACACACAAUCAGGAGGAAUAUAUAUAAGCCUCUUGGGACAAGGUUAUACCUUAGUUUUUAUCCUGCCUGGUAAAAGGAGUUUUACUUGGUCUUCUUUGGAUUAAUAUUUCGCCACUUCGUAUUUCGGACAGUAUGGAAAGUAAAAGGCAAAUGAAAUUCCACCUGCUUGAAUUAGCCCUGGUUUUAUUUUUCAUGAAGGCUCGCGCCUCAGAAACCUUUCCAAAAGCACAGAACGUAACCUGGUCCUCUAUCAAUUUUAAAUCCAUAUUAACAUGGAGUCCAGAACCAACGAAUUAUUCCUACACUGUUGAAUUUUCAGAACUCGGCCAGAACAGAGACCGAACGCCACACUGUAUAAGGACGAUGGCAACUGAAUGCGACCUGACUGCAGGGUUGAAAAACCUGAAGGCCCAUUACAGCGCUGACAUCCUGUCUGAACCCAUGCGGGGCGUCUCCUCCGAUCUGGUUGAGUUCCCUCAUGUCAGAUCGGAGAAAUUCUCCCCUUACUAUGACACUGCCAUUGGCAGACCAGAGUUUAAAAUAGAAGUAAGCAGCGACAAAAGGAAGACGACGCUGCACGUAACGGACAUCCCCACGGCUCUCUUUAAUGAGGAUAAAAAGAGGCUGAAUAUUCGGGAUGUUUUCGGAGACAACCUGCAGUAUAAGGUUACCUACAGGAAAGCCAAGAGCACAGGAAAGAAAGAGAAGAUCAGUAAAAGCAGCAUCAUUGAGCUGACGGAUUUGGACCGAGGCGAGAGUUACUGUUUUUAUGUUCAGGCUUUCCUACCCUUCCGUGCUCUAGACAAACAACACGGGGAGAUCAGCAACAUCCAGUGCUCUCCAGAAGAAAGCCCAUCUAUCUUUGAAGAGUACGGUGUGGGUGUCAUAGUCGGAGCCAUUGUUAUUAUCAUUUUGGCAAUAACAGCAAUCAUUAUUGUCAUCGUGAUGUGCUGCAGACGAAGAAAGAGAGCGGAAAACACAGGAAAAGAAGGAUUACCAUUGAAUGUUGCGUGAAGAGUGUGGAUGCUGUGUUUGGUAGAUCUAAAUUAGACUCUCCCUUAGGGAGGAUGGCAUCCUGUUCCACUAUAAAACAGUGGGAAAAUUGUGUUUCUGUGAAACCUCAAAAUGUAGAUUAGACAUAUAAUUUAGCAAGACAAGACCUUUAUACUGUCAGGUGGUGGGUUCUUUAGUCUGGCACUGAAGUGUACUGUAUUAACAUUUUUAGAAGCAAUACCUAAUUUCAUCUACUUGCUAACAAAUGGAAAUACUGUAUGAUUUAUGAUGGGGUUUUUUGUACGCACUUGGGAGAAUCAAAAUCAGUAAUACUAAUUUAUUUUUUUUAGCUAUUAAUGUGGUAAGCUGUAUUUGUUUUUAAAGUAUAUUUGUGUUUUAACAGCAAAAUGCACUGCUAAGUUUUAACGCAUUGCAACUGUACAUGGCUAACCAGCGAUCAUAAAAUAAUGUCAAAUCUGGUUUAUUGUUGCCAUUUUGAUAUCACUGUUCUACAAACCUGUGAAUCCAGUAGGAAUGGUACUGAUGUGGAUUUUAUUUUUUAAUAAAACAAUUAAAUAUACAAAAAUGCACAUGUGGACUAAUCAGAAUGCAGACCUUUGUCAUUAUAUUUUCUAUCUUCAGAGGAGAGAUUGUGCCUUAUGAGAAAACUUAGUAAUGAAAAUCAAACUCAUAUUUAAACUCAAACUCAUAUAGAUGUUGAACAAUAAGGUAAAUAUACAAUAGCUCAAUGGCGCCCCCAAUUGUAAUUAGUAAAAUUCCAUUUAAUGUGACUCUCCUUAAAAAAAUGUGUCUCCUUUUAAGUGUAAAUUGUUUCGCUUUUAAUUUAAAGAAAUGUAAAUGUAUAGAUAGAUAGAUAGAUUUUUUGUCUAUACAAAGUCCAAGACC